This 253-nucleotide ribosomal RNA is filed under the name uncultured bacterium. Its description in RNAcentral is "partial 16S ribosomal RNA". It matches the Rfam family "Bacterial small subunit ribosomal RNA", at positions 524 to 776 of the family's 1533-position model. The record is from RNAcentral.
UACGUAGGUGGCAAGCGUUGUCCGGAAUUAUUGGGCGUAAAGCGCGCGCAGGCGGUCCCUUAAGUCUGAUGUGAAAGCCCACGGCUCAACCGUGGAGGGUCAUUGGAAACUGGGGGACUUGAGUGGAGAAGAGGAAAGUGGAAUUCCAUGUGUAGCGGUGAAAUGCGUAGAGAUGUGGAGGAACACCAGUGGCGAAGGCGACUUUCUGGUCUGUAACUGACGCUGAGGCGCGAAAGCGUGGGGAGCAAACAGG